CCCUUAGAUGUCCGGGGCCGCACGCGCGCUACACUGAAGGAAUCAGCGUGGCUUUCUCCCUGACCCGAAAGGGUUGGGAAACCCGUUGAAUCUCCUUCGUGAUAGGGAUUGGGGCUUGAAAUUGUUCCCCAUGAACGAGGAAUUCCCAGUAAGCGCGAGUCAUAAGCUCGCGUUGAUUACGUCCCUGCCCUUUGUACACACCCCCCGUCGCUACUACCGAUUGAACGGUUUAGUGAGGGCCUCGGAUUGGUCUCGGCCCGCUCUUUACCGGGCGGCGCCGUUGGUCGAGAAGACGCUCGAACUUGAUCGUUUAGAGGAAGUAAAAGUCGUAACA
This 334-nucleotide ribosomal RNA is filed under the name uncultured eukaryote. RNAcentral describes it as "partial 18S ribosomal RNA". It matches the Rfam family "Eukaryotic small subunit ribosomal RNA", at positions 1470 to 1796 of the family's 1831-position model. The record is from RNAcentral.